Non-coding RNA from Mobula hypostoma (lesser devil ray), 548 nucleotides. Lineage: Eukaryota; Metazoa; Chordata; Chondrichthyes; Myliobatiformes; Myliobatidae. The record is from the annotation of a RefSeq genome assembly.
UCAGGAUUGAGAGAAUAAACCCACCACGUAGGAUGUUUCUGUUUCUGCUCUUUAUUAUUGCCUUCCACUACGCGACCUCGGUGACGAUCCACCAGACGCCGGCUUUCUCGGGAACUGACGGCCACAAGGUGACCCUGCGUUGCACAGUAGAGGGUAGUACCAGUGCUGAUAACUACUUGUACUGGUACCGACAAUACCCAGGAAAGGGUCCGGAGAACAUGUUUUACUCAAACACAGCUCCGUACGUCUUACCAGAGGAAAUGGUCGACGGUUUUACGGCGGAGAGACCCCAGAGCAACGAGUUCCUCCUGAAGUCCGACAAACUGGAGGCGAAUUCGUCGGCCGUGUAUUUCUGCGCCUGGAACCUCCGCUGCACCUUCCCAUCUUUAGCAGUAUUCCGUCUGGAGGAGCGAUUGCCCGACCCGAGGCAGGAGCAGACUGAGCUGCUGUUGAUCUUUCGCUUAUUUGCCCACCAGGAGACAAACGAUGUUCUUAUGUUGUCGUAUAACCACAACUUCUGCAUCGAGACGCCACCAAAUUCCCUGUGA